This 346-nucleotide unclassified non-coding RNA is filed under the name soil metagenome. RNAcentral's name for it is "partial contains 5.8S ribosomal RNA, internal transcribed spacer 2, and large subunit ribosomal RNA". The stretch from base 1 to 119 matches the Rfam family "5.8S ribosomal RNA", at positions 35 to 154 of the family's 154-position model. The record is from RNAcentral.
GAUGAAGAACGCAGCGAAAUGUGAUACGUAAUGUGAAUUGCAAAUUCAGUGAAUCAUCGAGUCUUUGAACGCACAUUGCGCCCCCUGGUAUUCCGGGGGGCAUGCCUGUCCGAGCGUCAUUGCUGCCCUCAAGCACGGCUUGUGUGUUGGGCCCCGUCCUCCGAUCCCGGGGGACGGGCCCGAAAGGCAGCGGCGGCACCGCGUCCGGUCCUCGAGCGUAUGGGGCUUUGUCACCCGCUCUGUAGGCCCGGCCGGCGCUUGCCGAUCAACCCAAAUUUUUUAUCCAGGUUGACCUCGGAUCAGGUAGGGAUACCCGCUGAACUUAAGCAUAUCAAUAAGCGGAGGA